GGCUGAAAUUCGCCUUCAUGAAGCUGGAAUUGCUAGUAAUGGCAGGUCAGCAUACUGCCGUGAAUACGUUCCCGGGCCUUGUACACACCGCCCGUCACACCAUGAGAGUUGGAAAUACCCGAAGCCUGUGAGCUAACUUAAAGAGGCAGCAGUCGAAGGUAGAGCCAAUGAUUGGGGUGAAGUCGUAACAAGGUAUC
Molecule: ribosomal RNA, 197 nt
Filed under: uncultured bacterium
Lineage: Bacteria
Description: partial 16S ribosomal RNA
Rfam family: Bacterial small subunit ribosomal RNA
Source: RNAcentral